Molecule: non-coding RNA, 23 nt
Filed under: Cricetulus griseus (Chinese hamster)
Lineage: Eukaryota; Metazoa; Chordata; Mammalia; Rodentia; Cricetidae
Source: RNAcentral
UUAAAAUAAAUCUGUUGGAGAUG